RNAcentral lists this ribosomal RNA (477 nucleotides) under uncultured bacterium. RNAcentral's name for it is "partial 16S ribosomal RNA". It matches the Rfam family "Bacterial small subunit ribosomal RNA", at positions 899 to 1397 of the family's 1533-position model. The record is from RNAcentral.
ACUCAAAUGAAUAGACGGGGGCCCGCACAAGCAGCGGAGCGUGUGGUUUAAUUCGACGCAACGCGCAGAACCUUACCCAGAUUUGACUUGCACCUGCAAGCUGGAGAAAUCCAGUCGCCUUCGAGGGUGGUGCACAGAUGCUGCAUGGCUGUCGUCAGCUCGUGUCGUGAGAUGUUGGGUUAAGUCCCGCAACGAGCGCAACCCCCGCGGUCAGUUACUUGUGUCUGGCCGGACAGCCCUUCGGGGAGGAAGGCGGGGAUGACGUCAAGUCCGCAUGGCUCUUACAUCUGGGGCGACACACACGCUACAAUGGCAGCGACAGUGCGCAGCGACCCGGCAACGGGAAGCGAAUCGCCAAACGCUGCCUCAGUGCAGAUCGGGGGCUGCAACUCGCCCCCGUGAAGGCGGAGUUGCUAGUAACCGCGUAUCAGCCACGGCGCGGUGAAUACGUACCCGGGCCUUGUACACACCGCCCGU